This 223-nucleotide unclassified non-coding RNA is filed under the name uncultured Hygrocybe. RNAcentral describes it as "sequence contains ITS2". Lineage: Eukaryota; Fungi; Basidiomycota; Agaricomycetes; Agaricales; Hygrophoraceae. The record is from RNAcentral.
AACCCUCAAAAGAAAAAGCUUAACUGCUUUCUCUUUUGGAAUUGGAGCGUGCUGGCCUUCUGUUUGGGAAGCCCAGCUCCUCUGAAAUGAAUUAGCGAUGUGACAUCCACACGGCACCACGCUUCCCCGGCAUUGAUAGUAUCUUCAUGUCCGAGCGUGUUUGUGCAGCUGUGGAAAGCUUUGCUCGCUCAUAGCUUUGAUGGGUCAGCCCGUCCUUUGACCA